RNAcentral lists this long non-coding RNA (223 nucleotides) under Mytilus galloprovincialis (Mediterranean mussel). Lineage: Eukaryota; Metazoa; Mollusca; Bivalvia; Mytilida; Mytilidae. The record is from RNAcentral.
AAACUCAAAAUUUAACACAAGAAAGCUUUCUGCUAAUGUACCUACAUUACACUUAACUGUUGCAAUAUUAUUACAGCAGGCAAAAUUUGCACAGCCCUUGUUUUGCAAAGAAAUAACACAACAUUUGACUCUGUGAUCUUGAACUUUAUGAAUUACAUAGAUCCCAAUAUUUUUGUUACUUUUUUUUAAUUUCCUUCCUCACAACACCAGUAAUAGAAAGAAA